AUUGAACGCUGGCGGCAGGCUUAACACAUGCAAGUCGAGCGGGGAAGGUUGCCUCGGUAACUGACCUAGCGGCGGACGGGUGAGUAAUGCUUAGGAAUCUGCCCAUUAGUGGGGGACAACAUUCCGAAAGGGAUGCUAAUACCGCAUACGUCCUACGGGAGAAAGCAGGGGAUCAUUUGACCUUGCGCCAAUAGAUGAGCCUAAGUCGGAUUAGCUAGUUGGUGGGGUAAAGGCCUACCAAGGCGACGAUCUGUAGCGGGACUGAGAGGAUGGUCCGCCACACUGGGACUGAGACACGGCUCAGACGCCUACGGGAGGCAGAAGUGCGGGAGAUUGGACAAGUGCGGGAACCCUGAUCCAGCCCUGCCGCGUGUGUGAAGAAGGCCUUUUGGUUGUAAAUCACUUUAAGCGAGGAGGAGGCUCUCUUGGUUAAUACCUGCGAAGAGUGUACGGUACUCGCAGAAUAAGCACCGGCUAACUCUGUGCCAGCAGCCGCGGUAA
RNAcentral lists this ribosomal RNA (501 nucleotides) under uncultured bacterium. RNAcentral's name for it is "partial 16S ribosomal RNA". It matches the Rfam family "Bacterial small subunit ribosomal RNA", at positions 30 to 523 of the family's 1533-position model. The record is from RNAcentral.